UAUUCCCCAAUUCUUCAACUUUCUAAAUCUUGCUUUCUUCUAUUACGAGCUUGAUAUUUAAGAAGGAAGAAGGUAGAAAACAGAAUCCAUGGACACACAAGACUGUUGAUGCCGCCGCACCUCAUGGCUCCAACGUUCAGUGGAAUUGUGGUGAUUAAGGAGACGGCAAUGGUGGUGGUAGGGGUUACGGCGGUGGAUGAGGUGGCGACCGCUAUGGUGGUGGAGGAGGCUUGGCGGUGAUGGUUGCAAUGGUCGUGGUGGAGUUCGUGGUGGUUAUUAAUGUGGUGGUGGUUGGUACGGAAGAGGAAGAAGAGAGUAGAUCGGAGAAAGAAUCGAGCGGCAAGCACAGAGAGCACAUGCAGCGAGACUAAGAAAGCAGAGAGCACAGCAGCAGCAACAAGAACAUAGCGGUGAGAUCUAACCGGCAGCCAAUCUAGCUGCGGGUUCCGUAAGCUUCAGUAGCUUUAUGUGAUCUUUUCUGUGAAGCAUACUCUGCUACUUACGCAACGCAGAAUCGCUCAUCUCCCCUCAAAGAUAUCAUACUAUACAGUAUCCAGGAAACAACAAAUUUUGUCAGAAGUUGUGUAUUUUGUUCAAUGGGGUCAUCCUUUUCAAACCAAACCUUGAGUUUCAGUUCAAUUUCAGUUCCGCAAAAGGCUCAACCACAGAAGAAACAAACUGGAAAAAAAGCUUCAUACCAAGCAAAUGC
This is a non-coding RNA of Arachis ipaensis, 709 nucleotides long. Lineage: Eukaryota; Viridiplantae; Streptophyta; Magnoliopsida; Fabales; Fabaceae. The record is from RefSeq and is a predicted model, not a curated record.